UGAGCAUACAGAGCUGCGAGCUACACAUGCAGUCGACGGUAACAGGAAGAAGCUUGCUUCUUUGCUGACGAGUGGCGGACGGGUGAGUAAUGUCUGGGAAACUGCCUGAUGGAGGGGGAUAACUACUGGAAACGGUAGCUAAUACCGCAUAACGUCGCAAGACCAAAGAGGGGGACCUUCGGGCCUCUUGCCAUCGGAUGUGCCCAGAUGGGAUUAGCUUGUUGGUGGGGUAACGGCUCACCAAGGCGACGAUCCCUAGCUGGUCUGAGAGGAUGACCAGCCACACUGGAACUGAGACACGGUCCAGACUCCUACGGGAGGCAGCAGUGGGGAAUAUUGCACAAUGGGCGCAAGCCUGAUGCAGCCAUGCCGCGUGUAUGAAGAAGGCCUUCGGGUUGUAAAGUACUUUCAGCGGGGAGGAAGGGAGUAAAGUUAAUACCUUUACUCAUUGACGUUACCCGCAGAAGAAGCACCGGCUAACUCCGUGCCAGCAGCCGCGGUAAUACGGAGGGUGCAAGCGUUAAUCGGAAUUACUGGGCGUAAAGCGCACGCAGGCGGUUUGUUAAGUCAGAUGUGAAAUCCCCGGGCUCAACCUGGGAA
RNAcentral lists this ribosomal RNA (600 nucleotides) under Escherichia fergusonii. RNAcentral describes it as "bacterial SSU rRNA". It matches the Rfam family "Bacterial small subunit ribosomal RNA", at positions 30 to 620 of the family's 1533-position model. The record is from RNAcentral. Lineage: Bacteria; Pseudomonadati; Pseudomonadota; Gammaproteobacteria; Enterobacterales; Enterobacteriaceae.